GGGCCGCUAGCUCAAUGGUAGAGCAUCUGACUCUUAAUCAGUUGGUUCUAGGUUCGAGUCCUAGGCGGCUCACCA
RNAcentral lists this transfer RNA (75 nucleotides) under Cyanobacteria bacterium M5B4. RNAcentral describes it as "tRNA-Lys". It matches the Rfam family "tRNA". From Rfam's summary of the family: Transfer RNA (tRNA) molecules are approximately 80 nucleotides in length. Lineage: Bacteria; Bacillati; Cyanobacteriota. The record is from RNAcentral. RNAcentral also lists the same sequence under 1 other name.